Lathyrus oleraceus (garden pea) is the source of this 5328-nucleotide RNA transcript. It is a transcript of the gene named probable pre-mRNA-splicing factor ATP-dependent RNA helicase DEAH5, with no coding region annotated. The transcript is spliced from 3 exons. NCBI's taxonomy places the organism in Eukaryota, Viridiplantae, Streptophyta, Magnoliopsida, Fabales, Fabaceae. The record is from RefSeq and is a predicted model, not a curated record.
AUUUUUGUAUUUUUAUACCCAAUUUAAUGUAUUACUAUUUUAUAUCUUUGGGAAUAUUUUGAUGUUUUAAAUCAUCAAAUUGCUCUCGCCUCUCAGAAACGAAGCCUCCAUCACAGUUGUUGCAAUCAAAACCAGUUUCUUCAAAACCAUUUUUAGGGUUUAACAAUUUGACUCACCGUUAGGGUUUCUCUCAAUUCAACUCGUUGUUGUUGUUGCUAGCUUUGUACAAUGGGUGCCGAAAUUCAACAAGAUGGAUUGAAGGAGAAACUUGACUAUCUUUCACUCGUAUCUAAGGUAUGUACCGAGUUAGAAUCUCACACCGGAACCGGCGACAAGGUUCUCGCCGAGUUUAUUACCGAUUUAGGUCACUCGUCCGAGUCUGUUGAAGAAUUCGAUUCCAAAUUGAAAGAAAACGGUGCGGAGAUGCCGGAUUAUUUCGUUCGAACUCUUCUCACCAUUAUUCAUGCUAUUCUUCCUCCUAAACCUAAGAAGGAGAAAGAGAAUCAGAAGGAGAACUCUACCUCCAAGACUAAGUUUAAGGCGUUGGCGAUUUCAGAUGAUAGGGAUCGUGCUAAGGAGCUUAGGAACGAGAUUGAAGCGGAGGCUAGAGAAAAGCAGAAGCAGAUGGAACCGGACAGGUAUGAAAAAGGUAGGGAUGAUGAUGAUGGUUACAGAGAUAGGCGCAGGGAUAGAGAUAGGUAUGAUAGAGAUGAUAAAAGGGAUUAUAGAAGGGGGAAUGAUAGAGAAAGAGGCCGAGACAGAGAUGAUAGAAGGGGGAAUGAUAGAGAAAGAGAUAGGUACCAGAGAGAUGAUAAAAGGGGGAAUGAUAGGUACGAAAGAGACGAUAAAAGAGGGAAUGAUAGAGAUAGAGAUAGGUAUGAAAGAGAUGAUAAAAGGGGGAAUGAUAGGGAUAAAUAUGAGAGGCGGAGGAGAGAUGAGUAUGAAGAGUGUGAACAUGGAAGGGAGGAGAAUGUUGAUGAGAAAGGUAGUAAAGAAAGAGAUUCGAGGCAUGGUGGCUCCGGCGAACCCGAGUUGUAUAUGGUUUAUAAAGGAAGAAUUUCUAGGGUGAUGGAUACUGGGUGUUUUGUUCAGCUGGAUGAUUUAAGAGGGAAGGAGGGUUUGGUUCAUGUUUCUCAGAUGGCUACUAGGAAGAUUGUUAAUGCUAAGGAGGUUGUUAAAAGGGAUCAGCAGGUUUAUGUGAAGGUGAUUUCUGUUUCUGGUUCCAAGUUGAGUCUUUCCAUGAGGGAUGUUGAUCAGCAUACCGGGAAGGAUCUUCUUCCGUUGAAGAAGAGCUCAGAGGAGGAAGCUUUUAGGACAAAUCCACAAGAUUCGAAAGAUGGGCCUGUGGCUAGGACAGGGCUUUCUGGGAUCAGGAUUGUGGAGGAGGAUGAUAUUGGUUCUACCCGCAGGCCGCUAAAGAGAAUGAGCUCUCCUGAGAUAUGGGAAGCAAAACAGUUGAUUGCUUCAGGGGUUUUGAGUGUUUCAGAGUAUCCCACUUAUGAUGAUGAGGGAGAUGGAGUCAUGUACCAAGAGGAAGGCGCUGAAGAAGAGCUUGAGAUUGAGAUGAAUGACGAUGAACCCGCCUUCUUGCAAGGGCAGAGCAGGUACUCAAUGGAUAUGUCUCCUGUCAAGAUAUUUAAGAAUCCAGAAGGUUCUCUGGGUCGUGCUGCUGCGCUCCAAUCUGCACUUAUAAAGGAGCGUAGGGAAGUAAGAGAACAGCAGCAGCGUACCAUGCUAGAUUCAAUCCCAAAGGAUCUCAAUCGUCCUUGGGAGGACCCUAUGCCAGAGUCUGGGGAAAGGCAUCUUGCCCAAGAGCUGAGGGGUGUUGGCUUAUCGGCCUACGAUAUGCCAGAAUGGAAGAAAGAUGCUUAUGGGAAAACAAUUACUUUUGGGCAGAGGUCAAAGCUUUCUAUUCAGGAACAGAGGCAAAGUUUGCCAAUUUACAAGUUAAAAAAAGAAUUGAUUCAGGCUGUUCUAGAUAAUCAGGUCUUGGUUGUGAUUGGUGAAACUGGUUCUGGUAAGACUACGCAGGUUACACAGUAUCUUGCUGAAGCAGGUUACACCACCAGAGGUAAAAUUGGUUGUACUCAACCCCGUAGAGUGGCUGCAAUGUCUGUCGCAAAGAGAGUUGCUGAAGAGUUUGGUUGUAGAUUAGGAGAGGAAGUAGGUUAUGCCAUUCGGUUUGAGGAUUGCACCGGACCUGAUACUGUUAUCAAGUACAUGACUGAUGGUAUGCUUCUUAGGGAAAUUUUGGUUGAUGAGAAUCUGUCACAGUAUUCUGUUAUAAUGCUUGAUGAAGCCCAUGAGAGAACUAUUCAUACUGAUGUUCUUUUCGGACUGCUCAAGCAGCUGGUGAAGCGUAGACCUGAGCUGCGAUUGAUUGUCACAUCUGCUACUCUUGAUGCUGAAAAGUUUUCAGGAUAUUUCUUUAACUGUAACAUCUUCACAAUUCCUGGGAGAACUUUUCCUGUAGAGAUACUUUAUACCAAACAGCCAGAAAGUGAUUACUUGGACGCGUCUUUGAUCACUGUCCUACAGAUCCACUUGACAGAGCCUGAAGGAGACAUUCUUCUUUUCUUAACUGGUCAGGAGGAGAUUGAUUUUGCUUGUCAGUCUCUCUACGAGAGAAUGAAGGGAUUGGGCAAGAAUGUCCCAGAGCUGAUCAUUUUACCUGUUUAUAGUGCUCUUCCUAGUGAAAUGCAAUCUAGGAUAUUCGACCCUGCUCCUCCUGGAAAAAGGAAAGUGGUUGUGGCUACAAACAUUGCUGAAGCUUCUUUGACUAUUGAUGGAAUAUUUUAUGUUAUUGAUCCGGGGUUCGCUAAGCAAAAUGUUUAUAACCCGAAGCAAGGUCUUGAUUCCUUGGUGAUAACUCCAAUAUCACAAGCUUCAGCCAAACAAAGAGCUGGACGGGCAGGGCGUACUGGACCUGGAAAGUGCUAUCGCCUCUAUACUGAGAGUGCAUAUAGGAAUGAGAUGUCACCUACUUCUGUUCCAGAGAUUCAAAGGAUAAAUCUAGGCAUGACUACUCUUAGCAUGAAAGCCAUGGGCAUAAAUGAUCUUUUGUCAUUUGAUUUUAUGGAUCCACCAUCCCCACAAGCACUUAUUUCCGCCAUGGAGCAGCUUUAUAGUCUUGGAGCAUUGGAUGAAGAGGGCCUUUUAACCAAGUUGGGGAGGAAAAUGGCUGAAUUUCCCCUGGAUCCACCACUGUCCAAGAUGCUACUUGCCAGUGUAGACCUUGGAUGCAGUGAUGAGAUUUUGACCAUAAUUGCCAUGAUCCAGACUGGCAAUAUUUUUUACAGGCCCAGGGAGAAACAGGCCCAAGCAGAUCAGAAAAGAGCAAGGUUUUUCCAGCCAGAGGGUGACCAUCUUACACUUCUUGCUGUUUAUGAAUCCUGGAAAAAUAAAAACUUUUCUGGACCCUGGUGUUUUGAGAAUUUUGUUCAAUCUCGGUCGUUGAGAAGAGCCCAGGAUGUAAGGAAACAACUUCUCACCAUCAUGGACAAGUACAAAUUGGAUGUUGUGAGUGCUGGAAAAAACUUCACCAAGAUCAGGAAGGCUAUCACUGCAGGGUUCUUUUUUCAUGCAGCUAGAAAGGACCCCCAAGAAGGUUACAGAACACUAGUUGAGAAUCAGCCUGUAUAUAUCCAUCCAAGUUCAGCUUUGUUCCAGAGGCAGCCAGACUGGGUCAUAUACCAUGAGCUUGUAAUGACAACUAAGGAAUAUAUGCGUGAGGUCACAGUCAUAGACCCCAAGUGGCUUGUUGAGUUGGCUCCAAGAUUCUUUAAAGUGGCAGAUCCUACAAAGAUGAGCAAACGGAAGCGUCAAGAGCGUAUCGAACCACUUUAUGAUAGAUACCAUGAGCCAAAUUCAUGGCGUUUGAGUAAACGCCGUGCAUGACAUGCUUUCUCAGUUUCUCUUAAUGCAAGGUUGUGGAUACAAUUUAUGUUGGAUUUAGUAUUAAAUCUCCUUCCCUCCUUCCAAUCACACCUGGCAGAGAAGUCUGUUCUGUACAUAUCAUGCAUUGGAGCUAUUUUGCACUGUAGCAUUAACUGUAACUUCAUGAUGUGUUUGCUUCCUUUUGGAUGGAUUUAGGAAUUAAAUUGAGUAUAUUUUCUUUUACAGGUUUGCUUUCUAUCUUUGUGCUUAGUUCAAGAUGAUUCUCUUUGGCAAUGAGCUGGCCUAUUAAUUUAUGUCUUAACAACUAAUCAAGCUUUUAUCCUGUUUGUUUAGGAUAUUAGUUUCCACAAUAAUUACUAGUUUGUUGGUAACAUGUAUUAAUUGGUGGCAUCAGUGAUAGAGCCAUUAGCAUCAGUAGAAUGGAACACUAGGGUUGUGGCAUUAAUUGUAUGUUGUUGAUGACCUAAUCAUCAAAAUACUUCGUUGAUCUGUUAGGCAUUGUAUUGUGCAAAUCUUUAUUGUCAAUAGGGUGCUAUAUAGCCCUGACUUUUGCGGCAUAGCGUGGCAGAGCAGCCCCUCACCAUCUGUCUGCUAACCUCCUUACAGAGCAGUCCUUCACCGCCACACCUUCGGUUGGAUUAUAUGGUUUUAGUCGUCACAAUAGUGUAUUUUUGGGGUCCAGCGCUACGUUGUCUGAGAUUAACAACAUAGGUGCAGAUUCAAUUUCAAUUAAAUUUGCCCCAAGUGAAUGGCAACUGUGCUUCCUUGUGAUUUUGAUAGAAUUAUCUGCUUUGGAGUUUGCAGAGUUGUGUACUAUCAAUUGUUAAGGACUGUGGUAUGCGUCUCAAUCAACUAUGGUGUAUCUUUGAUUUGACUUUCCACAGAAACAAGCAAUUGGACAGGCAGUUGGAGAUAUUCCGUCACCUUCCUCUGUUCAUAUUUCCAAGUCGAUGCAAUCUAUUGAAGUAAUUUUUGAUGCUGUUGACAGCAAUUCCUUUGAAACAGUUUGGAAGGUAUUUUUGUUUUACACACUCUUAUGUGUCUUCGUAGUGAUCUAAUAUAAUUUAUUUUCCGCGGUUUUGGCCACUAUGUUGAGAAUGGAGAAAAACCUAUAGUUUUAAGCUAGUAAGUAAUUUACCUCAUGAUGUUGUCACCUGUUAUUGCAUUCCCCAACUGUGUUUUGUUCUGGUGAAUCUGUCAUCUGGUCAUUAGUAAAUUUGUUUGUUUUUGUAGGGUUUUCAAUUAUGGAAGUUAAAUUUAAUGGGGGAAAGCAAAGUUGGUAUGAAAUAGUGGUACCUGAGUAAAAUGGGGAAGGGAAGAUAAGUGUUGAUGAUUUGGUUGAAUUCCAGAGUACUUUAUUAAUGAGAAAACAACUCAUCAUACUUUAUUGCAAUUGAAUUUCAUGUUGAGUAAAUAAUCAUUCUUAUGGUU